This 301-nucleotide ribosomal RNA is filed under the name uncultured bacterium. RNAcentral's name for it is "partial 16S ribosomal RNA". It matches the Rfam family "Bacterial small subunit ribosomal RNA", at positions 509 to 807 of the family's 1533-position model. The record is from RNAcentral.
CAGUAGCCGCGGGAAAACAGAGGGUGCAAGCGUUAAUCGGAAUUACUGGGCGUAAAGCGCGCGUAGGUGGUUUGUUAAGUUGGAUGUGAAAUCCCCGGGCUCAACCUGGGAACUGCAUCCAAAACUGGCAAGCUAGAGUAUGGUAGAGGGUGGUGGAAUUUCCUGUGUAGCGGUGAAAUGCGUAGAUAUAGGAAGGAACACCAGUGGCGAAGGCGACCACCUGGACUGAUACUGACACUGAGGUGCGAAAGCGUGGGGAGCAAACAGGAUUAGAUACCCCUGUAGUCCCUGUCUCUUAUAC